RNAcentral lists this long non-coding RNA (1390 nucleotides) under Apteryx rowi (Okarito brown kiwi). RNAcentral describes it as "lncRNA (ENSARWG00000014608.1)". Lineage: Eukaryota; Metazoa; Chordata; Aves; Apterygiformes; Apterygidae. The record is from RNAcentral.
AUGUCCUCAGCGGGCAGGAUUAAAGCGUUGCUACAUUGUGUCCUAUUUUGUGCUUCCAGCUGUAAUUAUAUUUUUCCUGAGCUUGAUCAUCCAGCCUUCCUUCAUUCCCUGGGCUCGCUGCACGAAGAAAAACUCAGUUUUGGAGUAAAUGAAGGAAACAACACUCAAAAGACAAGACAGAACACAGCAACAGGAUCACCGACUGAUACCUACAUACUCUCUCAGGUUUGGGGGCUGUUUGUUCUUACUAUUCUUGUUGUUGGUUAYGGCCUGUACACUGUAUACCCAUUUUGGUUCUGCUGUAAUGAUGAAGAAGGACAUAGGAGAAACGAGCUGGAGCUCCCAUUAGAGGAAAGACCACAGGAAUUCAGCGAACACCUCUUGGAAUGACCUUGUGUGAGAGGAUGGUGACACAUGUUUGGGUGGGACAUUGAAGCUGGGCUGGAAAAAUACCCUGCUCUCACUGUUCUUUCCAUAGCAUGGCUCUAGUUCAUAAAUUGUCUCCUGAACUGAAACUCUUUCUAACGCAGUGUAUAAAGCCAAACUGGCCUUUGCAUCUUGCAAACACCUUUGCAUCAAAGCUGGUGAGAAAAGAUGGGGUGGGGGAGGGACACACAACGGUCAGUUUUCAGAGUGGAGUGUGUUUUCCUGAUGCUAUUUCUGAAACUUGCAUUGCUCAGCUACAAACUGGUACGGAGAACAAACAAUGAUGCUGGUGGCACUGGUUAUUUAGGCUUGGUUGAGGCAAGCUGGGAGGUCUCCUGACUUCUCCAGAGCAGAAGUACCCAUCACGCAGCACUGCCUGAAGGAGAGAAAGGAGGAGACUUUCAGGGGCUGCCUGCUGGGUGGCAGUAUCCCCUCCCUCCAUCACAUACUGGCAACGGCACACAACAGCUGCUAGAGAGGAGCCUGAGGUUGCAGGAGGAUUUCCCUGAUGCCCAUCCCUUCUCCUUCUCCUGCUCACGCUGUGUUGCGAGACCUCAUGUUGCCGCUCUGUCACUCGUGCAGCCACCUUCAAGGAAAUGCAAUAAGAAGAUUCUGCUUUUGGCAGCAGGCGUAGGGCAACCUGGGAGCGAGGCUCCUCUUUGUGGYACCCCCUGGGCCUACAAUUACCAAUUGAACAAGCUGCUGCGUUUUGAAGGACUUCCUGCUACAGCAUAGCUCAGACAGGGCCGGAAGGCACAGGCUGAGCUUAAACGGUGCUGCUGGGCCUUACACAGAGCUGCUGGGUGCGUGGGUGGAGGCCCCAGGUAAGGCUGCUCCGGGCCAUUAAGGUCUAUGAGCGCCCCCAGGGCCUUGGGUGCAGCCUCCCCUCCCAGCAAGGUGGGUCCUCACACCUUAUGGAGAUCUGGGUGCAGAAGGGACUUUCUGCAGAGUGAUUUAACUGCUG